AGUGAACGCUGGCGGCGUGCCUAAUACAUGCAAGUCGAACGGUAACAGGGUGUAGCUUGCUACACUGCUGACGAGUGGCGCACGGGUGAGUAAUGCAUAGGUUAUGUGCCCCAUAGUCUGGAAUAGCCACUGGAAACGGUGAUUAAUACCGGAUAUUCCCGAGAGGGGAAAGUUUUUCGCUAUGGGAUCAGCCUAUGUCCUAUCAGCUUGUUGGUGAGGUAAUGGCUCACCAAGGCUAUGACGGGUAUCCGGCCUGAGAGGGUGAUCGGACACACUGGAACUGAGACACGGUCCAGACUCCUACGGGAGGCAGCAGUAGGGAAUAUUGCUCAAUGGGCGAAAGCCUGAAGCAGCAACGCCGCGUGGAGGAUGAAGGUCUUCGGAUUGUAAACUCCUUUUCUAAGAGAAGAUUAUGACGGUAUCUUAGGAAUAAGCACCGGCUAACUCCGUGCCAGCAGCCGCGGUAAUACGGAGGGUGCAAGCGUUACUCGGAAUCACUGGGCGUAAAGAGCACGUA
RNAcentral lists this ribosomal RNA (517 nucleotides) under uncultured bacterium. RNAcentral's name for it is "bacterial SSU rRNA". It matches the Rfam family "Bacterial small subunit ribosomal RNA", at positions 28 to 573 of the family's 1533-position model. The record is from RNAcentral.